AUGUUCCGCGUGUGUCCUGCGCUGCUGCUGGUGUGUGUGAGUGUGUUCGGGCUGUGUGUGUGCGUGUCCGCGGAUCUUCCCAGAGACUUCGGAGUGAAGCUGUGCGGCCGCGAGUUCAUCCGGGCGGUGAUCUUCACCUGCGGCGGCUCCCGGUGGCGGAGAGCGGACACACCGAGCGGUACGUACUACACACUCUAUACAGCACACUACAAAUACAGCACACUAGAUGUGUUCAGCAACACUCCACAAGUGCACAUUCGGCACAUCCCAGUCGCACCCUUAACUGUGAGAGUGCUCUAUUACUGCAUAUACACACACACACACACACACACACACAAUGUGAUGUGCAGUGACCCUGCCGUGUGUCUGAGCCACUUACUGUACUGCAAUCAUGUGGGGUUUUUAGUAAGAUGAGGUGAUUUUAGGAGGGGCACUGCAAUCAGUCUGCUGUGGUGAUUCUACAGCGGCCAUAUAACACUGACAAAUGUGUUCUUCAACAACUAUUUAAAGGCAUUUUACUACAUCCAAAAUGCGUCACUUUAUUUCCAGCAAAUAUGAAACAUCGAGUACAUUUAUAAACUGUUUUAAAACUGUGUGAAUGCAGCUUCUCCAUUUACAAUAAAGAAUAAAAAAUGCUUCAACAUCAAUCAAAAGAGCUGUUUUAUCUGAACAUUUACAACACUUUCCACACAAUCAUCACAGAAACACGAUCUCACAUCUGCAGUAUUACACUUCUCUAAUUUUCACACAAUACCUUUGAACUCACUUAAAAGUGGAUUUAAUUGACUUAAUUUAAAAGUAGAAAUAUAAUUAUGCAUAUUGUGAUGAGAGAUGCAAAUGUCUGAUGAGCUUCACAAACACUGCACAUGCUGGACUGUUGCCUUCUCAUGUGCGGAGAGCAAACGCCACACGGUGCAGAUAUCAAUAAUGAAACUGUGUUUAUCAGAAAAUAGCCACCAAAUGUUUAUUAAAAUGCCCUACAUGUUAGUUUAUAAUGCUGACAGUUUUGUUUUAUCAGUUGUUUUUAUUUACAGAACUUAAUAAUGAACUUUUAUAAGUUUCUUUAUCUGCUUUUAUAUGAUGAUUCAUGUUUUAAUAUGGACAAUUAUUCAUAAAUCACUUUGCCUUUCCAGUCAUGUUUAUUUUCAGAGAUACUGUAAAGAAGAAGGAGUUGUCCGACACUUAUGUACACUGUAGAAUUUCCCCGUAAAUGUACAGUUGAUUUCUGGCCGCUGGGGUGCUGGAAUAAAAGUGUAGAAUCACAGCCGUUACAUUACAGACAUUUACUGUAAAAUUACAGACAUUACAGACAUUUACUGUAAAAUUAUGGACAUUACAGACAUUUACUGUAAAAUUAUGGACAUUACAAAACAUUUGUUGUAAAAUUAUGGACAUUACAAAAGUUUACUGUAAAAUUAUGGACAUUACAGAACAUUUAUACUGUAAAAUUACAGACGUUACAGAACAUUUCUUACAUUUAAAUGUCUGAUAAAUCUCUGUAAUUUAACCUCUGUUAUUUUACCGUAAUUUUACUGUUAUUUUAAUCCAUCUGCUGGAAAUAAACCAUAAAUGUACAGAUUUUGUUUUACAGUGCACCUUCUUAUGAGAACAGGUGUGUAUCUUCAGUUCAGUUGUACCAGAACAGCAUCAUAAGAGCUCUGUUCUGCAACAUAUAAUGUACAACUCUUACAAAGACACACACCUGAUCCUCCAGCAGCAUUAUCUGUUCCACCAUGCACCUUUUAAAUGAGUGUACAGAUAAACAGCUGACCCAGUACUGUAGUUUUCCACAGCUGUAGACUAUAAUAACUAUUACAGUAGACCAUCAUCAUCAGUGACUGCACUGUAAACAAUAAAAUCUGUAGUUUAUUUCCAGCUAAAAUUACAGACUGUAAAAUAACAGGUUGAAUUACAGAAAUGUACAUUGCAGCAGGUUUCUGUCAUAUAAUGUCUGCUAUUUUACAGUAAAUUUCUGUAAUUUAACAGCCGUUAUUUUAGUUUUUGCCGGAAAUAAACUGUAAAAUUACAGAUUUUGUUUACUGUGUGUGUGUGUGUGUGUGUGUGUGUGUGUGUGUGUGUGUGUGUGUGUGUGUGUGUGUGUGUGUGUGUGUGUGUGUGUGUGUGUGUGUGUGCACUGCAGUAAAUGCUUUUCUUACUUAAACUUUGUGUUUUGUUUCGAGUCCAAAUAUCUCACAAUUCUUAAAUCAAGAAGAAUUUUCUACACAAGCAAAACUUAUUGUCUUAUUUUAAUCUGCCAAUGGGGUCAGCAAAAUAAUCUUGUUUUUCCUUUUGACACUUGAUUAUUCUGCUUCCUCCAUUGGCAGAUUAUUUUGCUUGUUUAAGGAAAAACUGACUUCAUUUUGCUUAUUAUUUCUCAAAACAAGACAAUGUGUUUUACUUGUCUAGAAAAUGCUUCUUGAUUUUAGAAUUGUGAGGUAUUUGGACUCGAAACAAGACAAAAAAAUUAGAGGAAAAAAGCUAGAAAAGCAUUUAAUGCAGUGUAACCCCGCCAGCACUGCGCCACCCAACCCGCUCCGAGCUGGCAUCAAACUGGCUUCCUUCCACAUGGGAGUCGGUUGCUUUACCAAGGUGGCCAAAGUCCAUAUCCUCUAUAGUCUGUCGCUAGAGCACCUUUAGAGGUCAGAGGAGUGAGCUUUACCUGCACAGCACUCACUAGCUGACCUCUGUUACUGUAGUAUAGCUGAUAAACUUUACCAUACAUCACUUCAGUAUUGUGUUCAAAACAGCAGAUUUACCAGAACAUGCAGAAUCCAGAACAGGGAAUCUGUCAGUAACAGGAGAGUAGCUCAGACAUCAUCAUCAUCAUCAUCAUCAUCAUCAUCAUCAUCAUCAUCACGGCUGUUCAUUCAUUCAUCAUGUGUCCUGAAGCUGCAGGAGAGCUCUGUCAUGUUGGAGAGAUUUCAGAGGAGACCUGCGUGCAGCUCCACAAUAACCUGAGCUGCAGGUAUCCCGUAUUACUGAUCAGCACUACUGACCAAACAAUGUCUCUGUGUGUGUGUGCAGGUGAGGUGUGGCUGGACCCCCAGCAGGACCCUCUGGAUGGAGCCGGUUCUCCUGAAGUCGGUUCUCCUGAUGCCAGUUCUCCUGGUUCUCAUCGAUGGUCUCUCUCCGGGGUUCUGCAGCUGCUGGCGGGGGCCCGGGUCAAGGCUCCACAGAUCGGGCUGAGGGCGUGGCUGCAGACGCUCUCCUCCUCCUCCUCGGGCCCCGCGUGGCCCCGCCCCGACCGCAGGAAGAGGAACUUCUCGGUGGGUUUGGCGGGAAUGUGCUGCAAUCAGGGCUGCACCAAAAACGACAUCGGCCGGCUGUGCUGA
Non-coding RNA from Danio rerio (zebrafish), 3332 nucleotides. The record is from RefSeq. NCBI's taxonomy places the organism in Eukaryota, Metazoa, Chordata, Actinopteri, Cypriniformes, Danionidae.